CCAUCACUGACGNUCAUGGACGAAAGCCAGNGGAGCGAAAGGGAUUAGAUACCCCUGUAGUCCUGGCCGUAAACGAUGAACACUAGGUGUCGGGGGAAUCGACCCCCUCGGUGUCGUAGCCAACGCGUUAAGUGUUCCGCCUGGGGAGUACGCACGCAAGUGUGAAACUCAAAGGAAUUGACGGGGGCCCGCACAAGCGGUGGAGUAUGUGGUUUAAUUCGAUGCAACGCGAAGAACCUUACCAGGGUUUGACAUCCUGCGAAUCUCUUGGAAACGAGAGAGUGCCUUCGGGAGCGCAGUGACAGGUGGUGCAUGGCUGUCGUCAGCUCGUGUCGUGAGAUGUUGGGUUAAGUCCCGCAACGAGCGCAACCCACGUCUUUAGUUGCCAGCAUUUAGUUGGGCACUCUAGAGAGACCGCCGGUGAUAAACCGGAGGAAGGUGUGGAUGACGUCAAGUCAUCAUGCCCCUUACAUCCUGGGCUACACACGUACUACAAUGCUACGGACAAAGAGCAGCAAGUUCGCGAGGACAAGCAAAUCUCAUAAACCGUGGCUCAGUUCAGAUCGUAGGCUGCAACUCGCCUACGUGAAGGAGGAAUCGCUAGUAAUCGCAGGUCAGCAUACUGCGGUGAAUACGUUCCCGGGCCUUGUACACACCGCCCGUCACACCAUGGAAGUUGGCCACGCCCGAAGCCGUUACUCCAACCCUUGUGGAGGAGGACGUCGAAGGUGGGGCUGAUGACUGGGGUGAAGUCGUAACAAGGUAACC
RNAcentral lists this ribosomal RNA (768 nucleotides) under uncultured marine microorganism. RNAcentral describes it as "bacterial SSU rRNA". It matches the Rfam family "Bacterial small subunit ribosomal RNA", at positions 734 to 1501 of the family's 1533-position model. The record is from RNAcentral.